Molecule: ribosomal RNA, 692 nt
Filed under: uncultured bacterium
Lineage: Bacteria
Description: bacterial SSU rRNA
Rfam family: Bacterial small subunit ribosomal RNA
Source: RNAcentral
AACGCUAGCUACAGGCUUAACACAUGCAAGUCGAGGGGCAGCACGGGAGUAGCAAUACAACUGGUGGCGACCGGCGCACGGGUGAGUAACGCGUAUGCAACCUACCUAUCGGAGGGGAAUAACCCGGCGAAAGUCGGACUAAUACCGCAUAAAACAGGGGCACCGCAUGGUGAUAUUUGUUAAAGAAAUUCGCUGAUAGAUGGGCAUGCGUUCCAUUAGGUAGUUGGUGAGGUAACGGCUCACCAAGCCGACGAUGGAUAGGGGAACUGAGAGGUUGGUCCCCCACACUGGUACUGAGACACGGACCAGACUCCUACGGGAGGCAGCAGUGAGGAAUAUUGGUCAAUGGGCGAGAGCCUGAACCAGCCAAGUCGCGUGAAGGAAGAAGGAUCUAUGGUUCGUAAACUUCUUUUGCAGGGGAAUAAAGUGCAGGACGUGUCCUGUUUUGUAUGUACCCUGAGAAUAAGGAUCGGCUAACUCCGUGCCAGCAGCCGCGGUAAUACGGAGGAUCCGAGCGUUAUCCGGAUUUAUUGGGUUUAAAGGGUGCGUAGGUGGUUUGAUAAGUCAGCGGUGAAAGUUUGCAGCUUAACUGUAAAAAUGCCGUUGAAACUGUCGGACUUGAGUGUAAAUGAGGUAGGCGGAAUUCGUGGUGUAGCGGUGAAAUGCUUAGAUAUCACGAAGAACUCCGAUUG